UACGUAGGGUGCGAGCGUUAAUCGGAAUUACUGGGCGUAAAGCGUGCGUAGGCGGUUCGUUAAGUCAGCUGUGAAAGCCCCGGGCUCAACCUGGGAAUUGCGGUUGAAACUGGCGAACUAGAAUCUGGCAGAGGGGGGUGGAAUUCCACGUGUAGCAGUGAAAUGCGUAGAUAUGUGGAGGAAUACCGAUGGCGAAGGCAGCCCCCUGGGAUAACACUGACGCUCAUGCACGAAAGCGUGGGGAGCAAACAGG
RNAcentral lists this ribosomal RNA (253 nucleotides) under uncultured bacterium. RNAcentral's name for it is "partial 16S ribosomal RNA". It matches the Rfam family "Bacterial small subunit ribosomal RNA", at positions 524 to 776 of the family's 1533-position model. The record is from RNAcentral.